Bacteroidetes bacterium GWA2_30_7 is the source of this 148-nucleotide non-coding RNA. The record is from Rfam. Lineage: Bacteria; Pseudomonadati; Bacteroidota.
AGGUCUUGGAAUAGAUUCGGUUUCUAUGAGCCAAGAAGUCAGCAGAGGUCAUAGUAGGAAUUUAUAGUAUUGACAGAAAGAUAUGUCUGCGGAGGUCAAGCGAACCGACUGUCUGAGCUAUCCGACAAAGAAAUAAAUUCCGAAGGAC